GUGCCAGCAGCCGCGGUAAUACGGAAGGUCCGGGCGUUAUCCGGAUUUAUUGGGUUUAAAGGGAGCGCAGGCUGGCUUUUAAGCGUGACGUGAAAUGCGGCGGCUCAACCGUCCGAAGUGCGUCGCGAACUGGAGGCCUUGAGUGAGUUCGACGCCGGCGGAAUUCGUGGUGUAGCGGUGAAAUGCUUAGAUAUCACGAGGAACCCCGAUUGCGAAGGCAGCCGGCGAGGCCUUUACUGACGCUAAAGCUCGAAGGUGCGGGUAUCGAACAGGAUUAGAUACCCUGGUAGUCCGCACGGUAAACGAUGGAUGCCCGCUGUUUGCGAUACACUGUGAGCGGCCAAGCGAAAGCGUUAAGCAUCCCACCUGGGGAGUACGCCGGCAACGGUGAAACUCAAAGGAAUUGACGGGGGCCCGCACAAGCGGAGGAACAUGUGGUUUAAUUCGAUGAUACGCGAGGAACCUUACCCGGGCUUGAACUGCAGCGGAACGAUUCAGAGAUGAUGAGGUCCUUCGGGACCGCUGUGGAGGUGCUGCAUGGUUGUCGUCAGCUCGUGCCGUGAGGUGUCGGCUUAAGUGCCAUAACGAGCGCAACCCCUCUCUUCAGUUGCCAUCGGGCUAUGCCGGGCACUCUGGAGACACUGCCACCGUAAGGUGUGAGGAAGGUGGGGAUGACGUCAAAUCAGCACGGCCCUUACGUCCGGGGCUACACACGUGUUACAAUGGGUGGUACAGAGAGCCGGUCUGCCGCAAGUCAGAUCCAAUCAAGAAAGCCAUCCUCAGUUCGGACUGGGGUCUGCAACCCGACCCCACGAAGCUGGAUUCGCUAGUAAUCGCGCAUCAGCCAUGGCGCGGUGAAUACGUUCCCGGGCCUUGUACACACCGCCCGU
This 890-nucleotide ribosomal RNA is filed under the name uncultured bacterium. RNAcentral's name for it is "bacterial SSU rRNA". It matches the Rfam family "Bacterial small subunit ribosomal RNA", at positions 505 to 1397 of the family's 1533-position model. The record is from RNAcentral.